RNAcentral lists this ribosomal RNA (255 nucleotides) under uncultured bacterium. Its description in RNAcentral is "partial 16S ribosomal RNA". It matches the Rfam family "Bacterial small subunit ribosomal RNA", at positions 524 to 776 of the family's 1533-position model. The record is from RNAcentral.
UACGAAGGGGGCUAGCGUUGUUCGGAAUUACUGGGCGUAAAGCGCGCGCAGGCGGCUAUCCAAGUCAGUGGUGAAAGCCCGGAGCUCAACUCCGGAACUGCCAUUGAAACUGUUUAGCUUGAGGACGAGAGAGGUGAGUGGAAUUCCCAGUGUAGAGGUGAAAUUCGUAGAUAUUGGGAAGAACACCGGUGGCGAAGGCGGCUCACUGGCUCGUAUCUGACGCUCAGGCUGCGACAGCGUGGGGACUCAAACAGG